This is a long non-coding RNA of Chenopodium quinoa (quinoa), 1953 nucleotides long. RefSeq lists it as uncharacterized. The record is from RefSeq and is a predicted model, not a curated record. The transcript is spliced from 6 exons. Lineage: Eukaryota; Viridiplantae; Streptophyta; Magnoliopsida; Caryophyllales; Amaranthaceae.
UUUCCUUUUUUGGAUAAAAAAUGCCGAAGGGAGAGCGCGGCUCAGCCCAGCAACGUGAUGUGGCGUAGAUGGCUAGCACAGGGGUAAUCCAGGCAUUUUGCAUGGGUUAUUAUUGUAUUUGAAUACACCAUACAUAUAAAUAUACACAUAUUAUAGAAUUAUCUACCCGUUUGCUUUAGUGUUUCCCGUUUUUCUUCUUCCUCAAAUUUUUUUUUGAUUUCCCACUCUGUUCUCUCUCCUCUAUACUACUCUUGUUCUCCUGAGCUUUGUUCAACAAAUUCCAGUGCCUUUUUUAACAAAUCCCAUAGCAAUGUUCAACCAUCCCAUCUUCCCCAAACUGAAGGUUGCUCCUUGGUUAUGGCUUUGAAGUUUGGUACCACAAUGAAGCGGAGACGAGGGGGAACAUUUGAAGUUUGUAAAAGUAAAAAGCGUAAACAGAAAGGCGUUGAUUACGAGGACGAUUCAAUGUCCAAAUCUGAUUAUGAAUUCCGUCCUGAUUCAAAUUCAGAAUCUGUAGGCUCGAGUGCAGUUUCGAAAGUAUGACUAGUGAAGUUGUAGCCUUGCAUGAGGAAAUUGAGAAGCAAAAAAAAAAAAAAAUGGAGAUGGAGAUGGAAAAACAAAUGGGGAAGCAAAAAUUGAAGCAAAAAAUGAUUACUGUCGACAAAGAGGAUUACAGUGAACGGAGCCAGAAUUCGAAGCUUGUUCGCCUUAAGAAAAAUCCUCGAAUACCUAGAGUGAAACCAAAUCGUGCUACAAAGAAACUUGAUCCUGUUGUGUUUGUGGCAAUGUCGAAUGUCAAUUGUGCCAUUGAGAGUUUAGAAAGGGUUGUUGCUAAAUUUUAUGAAACCAAGAGGCACAUUGUUACGAAAAUGGGGUUUGGAAAACUGCUCUUUGCUACUAGGAAAGAACAUCCACGACAGUGUUUGUGUUGGAUCGGUCAGUACAAGAGUAGAUCUAAAGAAUAAAAUGUUGGUGGCAGUGGAUGGACAACAAAUCCCGUUGAAUGCGAUCUAGGUCCAUUGGGUUCUUGGCCUUCCAUAUGGGAAAAGAGCACUUCCGAUGAAGCUUGUACAUAAGGCUUUAAGGAUCGUUUGUAUCAAAUGUAUAGCACAGCUACGAGGAGCGGCACAACUGGAAGUUAUAGGAAGACUCACGUAGAAGCAGUUGAGGGCCUGUUAGUUGAUGAGAGUGAAUUCAAGAAGGUUUUUUUAAAUGUUGGUCCUAAAUAUUCUAUGUUCAACAACUUGUCAUCGAAGAAGAAGUAGUUGCACGCAGUUGCCGUGGCUGACAAUGCAGACAAGUAUGAUAUGAUUGGUGUACAAUUGUUUUGGAUGAGUUGCUACAAUCGUUAGAUAAUUUCAGUACGAGGUUUUAUGCGAAGGGGUGGGCUCCUUGUCUCGGUGGCUGUACAUUUGUUUUUUUGUCGGUCUUGUAUUUAGAUAAACUUAAGAGGAUUCCAGUCCAGGGGAUGUCUUCCCACGAAUAAAAGUGUGGACUACGGAGGAGAUGAGGAAAGCGGCCAAGGACGAUAAGUUACCCGGCAGUGAUUAUGGUAAACUAAGGAGGUGGCAUACGGAAAACUAAGCACCCUAAACAACCAAUGGAUAAUCUCCCCAGUCGACGAAGGCAUUUAAAAAGAAGAAAUGAUGAGGAGUCUGAUGACACUGAGUAAGAGUUGGGAAAGCUUAGAGAAGAAGCUUGGAAUGGGAGUAUCAAGAGUGUACUCCAAGGAACUAUUCCGAAGAGUUUUUCAGAGUUUCUCUUCCCAUUCCUUGAAGUUGACCAAGCUAAGGCUAAAAGUCAACUUGUCAAGGAGUUCCGGGCACAUAGAGUUAUUAUUGAUUGAGUUACUUGCAGACAUAUUUCUACAAUUGAGAGAAUUUGAAAUGAAAAACCAUUCAUAAUCCAACAAGUUUGAAAUAUAAAGCAUUCAUUCAAAUUUUCAAUCUUAUU